GCCUGANGCAGCGAUACCGCGUGAGUGAAGAAGGCCCUUGGGUCGUAAAACUCUUUUGCAAGGGAAAAUAAUGAUGGUACCUUGCGAAUAAGCACCGGCUAACUCCGUGCCAGCAGCCGCGGUAAUACGGAGGGUGCGAGCGUUGUUCGGAUUUACUGGGCGUAAAGGAUGCGUAGGCGGUAUAUUACGUAAAAAGUGAAAUCCCGAAGCUUAACUUCGGAAUGGCUUUUUAAACGGAUAAACUUGAGAAUGUUAAAGGCAAGUGGAAUUCCUGGUGUAGAGGNGAAA
This 288-nucleotide ribosomal RNA is filed under the name uncultured Lysobacterales bacterium. Its description in RNAcentral is "uncultured Xanthomonadales bacterium partial 16S ribosomal RNA". It matches the Rfam family "Bacterial small subunit ribosomal RNA", at positions 381 to 686 of the family's 1533-position model. The record is from RNAcentral. Lineage: Bacteria; Pseudomonadati; Pseudomonadota; Gammaproteobacteria; Lysobacterales.